Molecule: ribosomal RNA, 241 nt
Filed under: uncultured Sphingomonas sp.
Lineage: Bacteria; Pseudomonadati; Pseudomonadota; Alphaproteobacteria; Sphingomonadales; Sphingomonadaceae
Description: partial 16S ribosomal RNA
Rfam family: Bacterial small subunit ribosomal RNA
Source: RNAcentral
CGUGUGAAUCUGCCCUCAGGUUCGGAAUAACAGCGAGAAAUUGCUGCUAAUACCGGAUGAUAUCGCGAGAUCAAAGAUUUAUCGCCUGAGGAUGAGCCCGCGUAGGAUUAGCUAGUUGGUGUGGUAAAGGCGCACCAAGGCGACGAUCCUUAGCUGGUCUGAGAGGAUGAUCAGCCACACUGGGACUGAGACACGGACCAGACUCCUACGGGAGGCAGCAGUGGGGGAUAUUGGACANUGG